This 253-nucleotide ribosomal RNA is filed under the name uncultured bacterium. Its description in RNAcentral is "partial 16S ribosomal RNA". It matches the Rfam family "Bacterial small subunit ribosomal RNA", at positions 524 to 776 of the family's 1533-position model. The record is from RNAcentral.
UACGGAGGGGGCUAGCGUUGUUCGGAAUUACUGGGCGUAAAGGGCGCGUAGGCGGUCUUGUAAGUCUUGUGUGAAAUCCCUCGGCUUAACUGAGGAACUGCACGAGAUACUGCAAGACUUGAGAUCGGGAGAGGGAAGCGGAAUUCCGGGUGUAGCGGUGAAAUGCGUAGAUAUCCGGAGGAACACCGGUGGCGAAGGCGGCUUCCUGGACCGACACUGACGCUGAGGCGCGAAAGCUAGGGGAGCAAACAGG